This 486-nucleotide ribosomal RNA is filed under the name Triticum aestivum (bread wheat). Its description in RNAcentral is "partial small subunit ribosomal RNA". The record is from RNAcentral. Lineage: Eukaryota; Viridiplantae; Streptophyta; Magnoliopsida; Poales; Poaceae.
AUUCUAAGAAUAUACGGGGAGGCCUCCGGUCAGUGCGUAAACAGAGCCAAAAGUGCUAUCUACUUCAGUCCAAACACACCGGCAGCGCUCAAAGAAUCCCUCAAACAGUUGCUCAACGUCCACUCGGAAGCUUUUUCAGAGCGGUAUCUUGGUUUGCCCACCGCUGUUGGGAGAAUCACAAGUGGUACCUUCGAACACAUUGGAGAUCGAGCAAGGGGGAAAAUGCAGGGUUGGUCUGAACGGUUCUUCGCUUGUGGAGGAAGGGAAACAUUGAUCAAAUCUAUUUCCCAGGCUAUACCAACUUUUAGUAUGUCCUGUUUUCUGCUUACCAAAAAAGUCUGCAAAAACUUGACUUCAAACAUGACAAAGUUCUGGUGGGGGAGUUCGGUUGAUAGGCGUUCUUUGCACUGGAUCGCCUGGGACAAACUUGCUACACCUAAGAUUAAAGGAGGGAUGGGCUUCGUGAUCUCCGACAGUUUAAUCUAG